UUUAGAACCGCAUGGUUCUAAAGUAAAAAAUGGUUUUGCUAUCACUUAUAGAUGGACCCGCGCCGUAUUAGCUAGUUGGUAAGGUAACGGCUUACCAAGGCGACGAUACGUAGCCGACCUGAGAGGGUGAUCGGCCACACUGGAACUGAGACACGGUCCAGACUCCUACGGGAGGCAGCAGUAGGGAAUCUUCCGCAAUGGGCGAAAGCCUGACGGAGCAACGCCGCGUGAGUGAUGAAGGGUUUCGGCUCGUAAAACUCUGUUAUUAGGGAAGAACAAAUGUGUAAGUAACUGUGCACAUCCUUGACGGUACCUAAUCAGAAAGCCACGGNC
RNAcentral lists this ribosomal RNA (333 nucleotides) under Staphylococcus xylosus. RNAcentral's name for it is "bacterial SSU rRNA". It matches the Rfam family "Bacterial small subunit ribosomal RNA", at positions 179 to 498 of the family's 1533-position model. Lineage: Bacteria; Bacillati; Bacillota; Bacilli; Caryophanales; Staphylococcaceae. The record is from RNAcentral.